CUUGAUCGACCCCAGCCACAACGGCCGCUCCGCCGACCGCCCCUGACCGUAGGUCGCCAGCAGCGCCUGCGCCUC
Streptomyces bingchenggensis BCW-1 is the source of this 75-nucleotide non-coding RNA. It matches the Rfam family "ASpks TB sRNA". NCBI's taxonomy places the organism in Bacteria, Bacillati, Actinomycetota, Actinomycetes, Kitasatosporales, Streptomycetaceae. The record is from Rfam.